Molecule: long non-coding RNA, 488 nt
Organism: Cuculus canorus (common cuckoo)
Lineage: Eukaryota; Metazoa; Chordata; Aves; Cuculiformes; Cuculidae
Exons: 3
Source: RefSeq, a predicted model, not a curated record
ACAUGAAUCCUAUGGCAGGGUAACCUGACAGACCCAAAUUCCAUGAAAAUGAUGUAAAAUUGAAAGAGAAGAGAUGCCAUUGUAAGCGAUGGCAGGGCAGCGCUAUCGCUAUCAUCUCCUUUGCAUAAUCACGUUAGCUACAAAGCCAGUUAGCGUGUUUCACAGCUUCUCCCACCAUGCUGCAACUGUAAGCUUUUUGGAAGGAGAGAGAUCUUUUCCUCCUAUUCAGGAUUUCUCAAUUGCCUCAGCCAUUCCUGCUCCUUGACACAGUACCAGAGAUUGGAGCCAGAAGGUGAAGCAUAAGAGGCGGAUGCUCAGGUGUACGCAAUGCUUUGUCUGGCUUUGGAUCCCACCUACACAUCCCACUGACUCAUCCUCCAGUCCAUGUCACUACUCACCCAUCCUGAGAACAUGACCUGCUCGAUCAGUUCAGGCUGAAGUUUUUUUUAAGUAUACCCUGUUUGACAUCUUCACUCUCCACCCAGCGU